GUUUUUGUAGCUCAGUUGGUUAGAGCAUCAAUUUUGUAAGCGGGAGGUCUUGAGUUCGACUAUUAAUAAGAGCA
This 74-nucleotide transfer RNA is filed under the name Ipomoea nil (Japanese morning glory). It matches the Rfam family "tRNA". From Rfam's summary of the family: Transfer RNA (tRNA) molecules are approximately 80 nucleotides in length. Lineage: Eukaryota; Viridiplantae; Streptophyta; Magnoliopsida; Solanales; Convolvulaceae. The record is from Rfam by way of RNAcentral.